CAUGAAUGUGCAAAAAUCAAUGG
Molecule: non-coding RNA, 23 nt
Filed under: Cricetulus griseus (Chinese hamster)
Lineage: Eukaryota; Metazoa; Chordata; Mammalia; Rodentia; Cricetidae
Source: RNAcentral